RNAcentral lists this ribosomal RNA (253 nucleotides) under uncultured bacterium. RNAcentral's name for it is "partial 16S ribosomal RNA". It matches the Rfam family "Bacterial small subunit ribosomal RNA", at positions 524 to 776 of the family's 1533-position model. The record is from RNAcentral.
GACGUAGGAGGCGAGCGUUAUCCGGAUUCACUGGGCGUAAAGCGCAUGUAGGCGGUUUGUUAAGUCCGUUGUUAAAGCCCCUGGCUCAACUGCGAGUCGGCCAUAGAUACUCCUAAGCUCGAGUCGACUAGAGGCAGAUGGAAUUCCGGGUGUAGCGGUGGAAUGCGUAGAGAUCCGGAAGAACACCGGUGGCGAAGGCGGUCUGCUGGGGUCGAACUGACGCUGAGGCGCGACAGCGUGGGGAGCAAACAGG